RNAcentral lists this ribosomal RNA (1400 nucleotides) under metagenome. RNAcentral's name for it is "SSU rRNA". It matches the Rfam family "Eukaryotic small subunit ribosomal RNA", at positions 375 to 1801 of the family's 1831-position model. The record is from RNAcentral.
GUUCGACUCCGGAGAGGGAGCCUGAGAAACGGCUACCACAUCCAAGGAAGGCAGCAGGCGCGCAAAUUACCCACUCUCGGCACGAGGAGGUAGUGACGAAAAAUAACGAGACGGAUCUCUUUGAGGCCCGUUAUCGGAAUGAGAACAAUUCAAAUCCUUUAACGAGGAUCUAGCGGAGGGCAAGUCUGGUGCCAGCAGCCGCGGUAAUUCCAGCUCCGCAGGUGUAUAUCUAUGCUGCUGCGGUUAAAAAGCUCGUAGUUGGAUCUGCGUGCUCGGAACUGGUUGGCUCACUGAGUUCAAACUGGUCUCCGGCGCUUUAUUGGCUGGUUUUCCCUUGAUGCUCUUAACCGGGUGUCUUGGGUGGCUAGCACGUUUACUUUGAAAAAAUUAGAGUGCUCAAUACAGGCGUAAAGCCUUGAAUAGUGGUGCAUGGAAUAAUAGAAUAGGACCUCGGCUCUAUUUUGUUGGUUUUCGGAACGCGAGGUAAUGAUUAAGAGGGACAGACGGGGGCAUUCGUAUUGCGACGUUAGAGGUGAAAUUCUUGGAUCGUCGCAAGACGGACGACUGCGAAAGCAUUUGCCAAGAAUGUUUUCAUUAAUCAAGAACGAAAGUUAGAGGUUCGAAGGCGAUCAGAUACCGCCCUAGUUCUAACCGUAAACGAUGCCAACUAGCGAUUCGCAGGCGUUAAACAACGACCUUGCGGGCAGCUUCCCGGAAACGAAAGUGUUCGGGUUCCGGGGGAAGUAUGGUUGCAAAGCUGAAACUUAAAGGAAUUGACGGAAGGGCACCACCAGGAGUGGAGCCUGCGGCUUAAUUUGACCCAACACGGGAAAACUCACCCGGCCCGGACACCGUAAGGAUUGACAGAUUGAGAGCUCUUUCUUGAUACGGUGGGUGGUGGUGCAUGGCCGUUCUUAGUUGGUGGAGCGAUUUGUCUGGUUUAUUCCGAUAACGAACGAGACUCUGGCCUACUAAAUAGUGGGCGGAUUCUUUCUGUCCGCAACACUUCUUAGAGGGACAAGCGGUGUUCAGCCGCACGAGAUUGAGCAUAACAGGUCUGUGAUGCCCUUAGAUGUCCGGGGCUGCACGCGCGCUACACUGAAGGAAUCAGCGUGCUUUCUGACCUUGCCCGAAAGGGCUGGGUAACCCGAUGAAAAUCCUUCGUGAUUGGGAUAGGGACUUGCAAUUAUUUCCCUUGAACGAGGAAUUCCCAGUAAGUGUGGGUCAUAAGCUCGCGUUGAUUACGUCCCUGCCCUUUGUACACACCGCCCGUCGCUGCCCGGAACUGAGCCGUUUCGAGAAGAACAGGGACCGUCGUUGAAGGGCCUUAACGGGCUUUUCUCUGAUAGAAACUGUUUUAAUCGCAGUGGCUUGAACCGGGCAAAAGUCGUAACAAGGUU